Hyla sarda is the source of this 1283-nucleotide long non-coding RNA. RefSeq lists it as uncharacterized. Lineage: Eukaryota; Metazoa; Chordata; Amphibia; Anura; Hylidae. The transcript has 3 exons. The record is from RefSeq and is a predicted model, not a curated record.
GUCCACGCAGCCCUCCAACUCUAGGCUCUCGGUGAGAUACGGGGAGACCGGAGGAGUCAGGGACCCGGAAAACUCUUCACUCAUGAUGACCGCUCGCCUGUGGAGCAGACUGCUACAGAUGUAAAGAUGAAAACAUCAUGCAGUGGCUAACAGCUGUUUCUGAAUUAACACUACAGAAAAUGGAAAAAAACUCACAAUGUGAAGGAAAAUGCUGUAUCUUUAUCGUGGCACACAUAGAUUUUGUUCAGGAAAUGAACAUGCACAGUGUUGGACUAACUGAUGACCUAAGAAAUCACAUGAGAUAAAUAUUCUUCUCUCACAUUACUGUUUUUAAGGGAGUGCAGAUUACAAUAUGAGGGUUGCACACCAACAAACUUAAAGUUAGAGCCCGUAAACACCUAUCGGACACUCAACAUUUUUGUCCACAAAAUACCUCUAUGGUCACACAACAUUGUGCUCAGAAACAUGAAGGCAGCUAUUCAACCAUGUUUUUACAGCGAAUUGAAAAGGGUUACUCCACCUACCAGAGGAGGCAACUACAAACAGAAAAUACUAGCUAGAAAAGUCUUCUGGAUAAUUGAGCUUGGCACCCGCUUUCCGAGGGGACUUAACAGAAGACUAGAUGUUAUAUUACAUUAUUGAGGUUAUUAUAUGUGCUCUCUCUAUAUGCUGCUUUCAUGUAAUCUACUGAUGUUAUUUGUUGGAAUUAGGGUUUUCUCCCUGCAUACAUACAUAGUUUAGUUUUGUGUAAUUAUUGUAAUCUUGCAACUUUGUAUGUAUAUUUUUCCAUGUUCUAUUGUCCUUUGGAGGGAGAUAUUUAGCAUAGUAUGCUUAUUUAUAUUUAUUGAUUUUUGAUAUUUAUUUUAUUUUUAUUUAUACAUUUAUGUUAUAUAUGCAUUUAUAUACUAAUGAUUACUAUCACAUUUAUUAUUACUCUCCCUCCAAUGAACACAAUAUCUCAUAGCCAAAUUGUCUUGUGAUUAUAUACUCACUAGGCAAAACAUAUGCUCAAUGGUUUAUUUUGCUUUAUUUAAUGUUGUCAUUUUCAAAUGUAAAAUUUUUUCUGAUUUAAUACUAUUUUAGCAUGUGUUUGUAUUAGCAUUUGAGCUAUGAGAGACUGAUCUUGGUGGAUGGUCACCUUGGACAUGUGACCCUGGCAUUUCCAGGUGAACCUGUCCAUCAAUUAAUUGGAUUUCCACCCAUAUAAGACCAGUUGGUCUCUGUUUUUAGUAGUAUGAGUAAGGCUAGGCUACCUGGCUGAAACGUGUUACUUUUAUCCUGUA